AGUGAACGCUGGCGGUAGGCCUAACACAUGCAAGUCGAACGGCAGCACAGGAGAGCUUGCUCUCUGGGUGGCGAGUGGCGGACGGGUGAGGAAUACAUCGGAAUCUACUCUGUCGUGGGGGAUAACGUAGGGAAACUUACGCUAAUACCGCAUACGACCUACGGGUGAAAGCAGGGGACCUUCGGGCCUUGCGCGAUUGAAUGAGCCGAUGUCGGAUUAGCUAGUUGGCGGGGUAAAGGCCCACCAAGGGGACGAUCCGUAGCUGGUCUGAGAGGUUGAUCAGCCACACUGGAACUGAGACACGGUCCAGAGUCCUACGGGAGGCAGCAGUGGGGAAUAUUGGACAAUGGGCGCAAGCCUGAUCCAGCCAUACCGCGUGGGUGAAGAAGGCCUUCGGGUUGUAAAGCCCUUUUGUUGGGAAAGAAAUCCAGCUGGCUAAUACCCGGUUGGGAUGACGGUACCCAAAGAAUAAGCACCGGCUAACUGCGUGCCAGCCGCCGCGGUAA
Molecule: ribosomal RNA, 506 nt
Filed under: uncultured bacterium
Lineage: Bacteria
Description: partial 16S ribosomal RNA
Rfam family: Bacterial small subunit ribosomal RNA
Source: RNAcentral